UAAGUAGGCUAUUAAAUGACAACAUUUUGGUAUGGUUCUUAUUCUAUGUGACAAAGGUUAUCCCCUCAAUACCUUAUAACCCCCCUGGCAAACCCUGCCACAGAGCAGGAGCGCAGGUUUAACAGUGCGCACACACGCACACGGGUCACGGUGGAGCGCUGCUUCGGGUUCCUCAAGCGCAGGUGGCUCUGUCUUGGACCAGCGGGAGGAACGCUGCUGUAUACCCCAGAAAAGGUGUGCGACAUCAUUUUGGCCUGUGCAGUUUUGCACAAUAUUGCUUUAGACAGUGGAGUGCCGUUUGAUGUGCCGGCGCAGCCAGAUGAACCAAUGCCCAGGGAACCGUGGCCAGCACAGCCUCCACUGGGGGCUAUACGGAGGAGACAGGACCUCAUUCAUCGCUUCUAAAAUGACCUCUGCCGUGAUGACUGGCCAAGCACGGGAGGCGGAGGGCACACGCUCGUCUGCCUGGCUCGGUGGGACCGCUCUGGGGAGAGGACCUGGACGCCAUGCAGCUGGUGCCUGGCUCUGAAACAGCAUUUAAACAAAACAAUAAAAAUGUGUACCUGU
Epinephelus moara (kelp grouper) is the source of this 567-nucleotide long non-coding RNA. RefSeq lists it as uncharacterized. NCBI's taxonomy places the organism in Eukaryota, Metazoa, Chordata, Actinopteri, Perciformes, Serranidae. The transcript is spliced from 2 exons. The record is from RefSeq and is a predicted model, not a curated record.